UGCACAGGUGCUGCAUGGCUGUCGUCAGCUCGUGUCGUGAGAUGUGGUUAAGUCCCGCAACGAGCGCAACUCUUAUCCCUAGUUGCCAUCAGGUAAAGCUGGGAACUCUGGGGAGACUGCCGGUGAUAAACCGGAGGAAGGCGGGGAUGACGUCAAGUCCUCAUGGCCCUUACAUCCCGGGCUACACACGUGCUACAAUGGCAGGUACAGAGGGCUGCGAAGCCGCGAGGUGGAGCGAAUCCCAGAAAACCUGUCUCAGUCCGGAUUGAAGUCUGCAACUCGACUUCAUGAAGGCGGAAUCGCUAGUAACCGCGAAUCAGCAGGUCGCGGUGAAUACGUUCCCGGGCCUU
Molecule: ribosomal RNA, 350 nt
Filed under: uncultured Latescibacterota bacterium
Lineage: Bacteria; Pseudomonadati; Candidatus Latescibacterota
Description: bacterial SSU rRNA
Rfam family: Bacterial small subunit ribosomal RNA
Source: RNAcentral